UGCAAGUCGAGCGGACCGACGGGAGCUUGCUCCCUUAGGUCAGCGGCGGACGGGCGAGUAACACGUGGGUAACCUGCCUGUAAGACUGGGAUAACUCCGGGAAACCGGGGCUAAUACCGGAUGCUUGAUUGAACCGCAUGGUUCAAUUAUAAAAGGUGGCUUUUAGCUACCACUUACAGAUGGACCCGCGGCGCAUUAGCUAGUUGGUGAGGUAACGGCUCACCAAGGCGACGAUGCGUAGCCGACCUGAGAGGGUGAUCGGCCACACUGGGACUGAGACACGGCCCAGACUCCUACGGGAGGCAGCAGUAGGGAAUCUUCCGCAAUGGACGAAAGUCUGACGGAGCAACGCCGCGUGAGUGAUGAAGGUUUUCGGAUCGUAAAACUCUGUUGUUAGGGAAGAACAAGUACCGUUCGAAUAGGGCGGUACCUUGACGGUACCUAACCAGAAAGCCACGGCUAACUACGUGCCAGCAGCCGCGGUAAUACGUAGGUGGCAAGCGUUGUCCGGAAUUAUUGGGCGUAAAGCGCGCGCAGGCGGUUUCUUAAGUCUGAUGUGAAAGCCCCCGGCUCAACCGGGGAGGGUCAUUGGAAACUG
RNAcentral lists this ribosomal RNA (598 nucleotides) under bacterium. Its description in RNAcentral is "bacterial SSU rRNA". It matches the Rfam family "Bacterial small subunit ribosomal RNA", at positions 56 to 635 of the family's 1533-position model. The record is from RNAcentral.